UACGUAGGGGGCAAGCGUUGUCCGGAUUUAUUGGGCGUAAAGAGCGUGUAGGCGGUCUGGUAGGUCCGUUGUGAAAACUCGAGGCUCAACCUCGAGACGCCGAUGGAAACCAUCUGACUAGAGUCCGGAAGAGGAGAGUGGAAUUCCUGGUGUAGCGGUGAAAUGCGCAGAUAUCAGGAAGAACACCCGUGGCUAAGGCGGCUCUCUAGUACGGUACUGACGCUGAGACGCGAAAGCGUGGGGAGCGAACAGG
This 253-nucleotide ribosomal RNA is filed under the name uncultured bacterium. RNAcentral describes it as "partial 16S ribosomal RNA". It matches the Rfam family "Bacterial small subunit ribosomal RNA", at positions 524 to 776 of the family's 1533-position model. The record is from RNAcentral.